Long non-coding RNA from Cyprinus carpio carpio, 353 nucleotides. The record is from Ensembl. NCBI's taxonomy places the organism in Eukaryota, Metazoa, Chordata, Actinopteri, Cypriniformes, Cyprinidae.
GAUUUUAAUAGAAACAGGUAUUUGCGCAACAAGCAGUGUUUGUGUUACAAACAGUUCAGACAUGUUGCUUUUGUCAUUGGGUUAUAAUUGGUAAUAAAAAAAUCAACAUUGUGAUGCUAUUUUGUAUCAUUAGGAAACAACUCGUGGAAAGAACAUGACUAAGCUUGCCAUUUUUGUGUGGAACUUAAGUUGAAGAAGUCCUAAUCAUAUCAAUGUAUACAUGUCUUUCCUGUCCAAUGUAUAUGUGAGCAGUCCAAAUCAGAAGAUCAGAGGAUGAAAUGAACUGCACAUCUGGAUAUACAGUUAGAACUGUACUGCAACCUCACCGCUCAUGGUACCACCCCUGAGACAAG